UUUAUUUGAACCCUUCGAGGAAAGAGGCCAAAUUAGACAAAGGACCAAAAGACUAACCAGAUAUUAAAGAUGCAGUGGAGUCUCUUUCUGCUGAUUCUGAUGGGUCAGUGUUUCGUCUCCACCUGUUACCUGUAUGAGUACCACUUUAUUAGAGAAGACAAAACCUGGGAAGAAGCACAGAAAUACUGCAGAGAGAAUUAUGCAGACCUG
This is a non-coding RNA of Maylandia zebra (zebra mbuna), 210 nucleotides long. The record is from RefSeq and is a predicted model, not a curated record. NCBI's taxonomy places the organism in Eukaryota, Metazoa, Chordata, Actinopteri, Cichliformes, Cichlidae.